UGCUCUUCUUCUUCUCUCAUCAAUAGCUCAUCUUCCUCUUCCUCUCUCCUUAUACGUUCGUACGUGAAUCGUACUCGAUUCAGCUAGGCGUUGCAAUCUCGUAUUCCUCUUAUCCUUGCUCAAAAUCAAGCGUCCCUCAUCAAUUAUUCCAUGGAAUUAGUACUAUUUCCAGCUCAUGCCUUAUCCUCUGGAAUUUUCAAAUUACUCAAAGUCCCACAUCUACUCUAGGCUGUGAUUUUAGAUUUUCUCAACCCCUAUAAAUACCCUUCUCACUCAUUGUUCAAAAGGAGGAUUUUCGGAGACCAAAGAGUACCCAUAAAGUUUUCUGGGAAUUCUUGUUUCCAUAAUUUAAAAUUUUUAAAACGUUUUAGUGGCUUUUCAAGUUGAAGAGGUGGAAUCGUCUCAGUCAAAUUUGUUGUUCAAUUCGCUGCCCAGAACCAGUCCAAUUGGACUCCCCUGUCUAGCAUAUCCCUCUUCUUGAGUCAACCUCUUUCGGAGUCAUGAAAGGGAAGUCAUGUUAUUGGGUUAAUAUCCCAAGAAGGUAGCAGCAACAGGGGCUAAAAAGAGAUGGAAUGAUUAAAAAAAAUUGGGUUAAACCCCCAACUAGAAGCAGUUGCAAUAGCCUUGUCAAGACUGAAAACUGAUGAUUUUGGACUCUCAAAAGUCCACUAAAAGCAGCAUAUUUGCAGCAGCCUCUAAGGGUUAGAAGAGUAGCGUUUCUUAGACUUACAAAGCCAGAGAAUAGAACAAAAGGAACAUUAAACAUUUUGGAUUGAAGGGCCUAAAAUCAAAGCGGCAAAAGGCAUUAUUUUCAGCCUUGAAGUGACCAUUUAUGGGCUGAAAUUUCUUAGUUAUCUUAGUUAUUGUUUAUAUUUAUUUACUUUUUUUAUUUUUGUGGCUGUUGAUUAUUCUUUUAAUUAACUUAUAUGAAUCCUUUGGAGGUUUUCGAACGACUCUUCUAUUUCGUUAUUUGUUUACUUUAAGUUCACAAAACUUAUUUUUAAGUUUAGGUAAUUUAAGCUUAUUAGAAUAACUUGAGAA
Solanum lycopersicum (tomato) is the source of this 1041-nucleotide long non-coding RNA. RefSeq lists it as uncharacterized. The record is from RefSeq and is a predicted model, not a curated record. NCBI's taxonomy places the organism in Eukaryota, Viridiplantae, Streptophyta, Magnoliopsida, Solanales, Solanaceae.